CCCCUAGUAACGGCGAGUGAAGCGGGAAGAGCUCAAAUUUGAAAUCUGGCACUUUCAGUGUCCGAGUUGUAAUCUCGAGAAGUGUUUUCCGCGCUGGACCGCAUAUAAGUCUGUUGGAAUACAGCGUCAUAGUGGUGAGAACCCCGUAAUUGAUGCGGACGCCCAGUGCUUUGUGAUACACUUUCGAAGAGUCGAGUUGUUUGGGAAUGCAGCUCAAAUUGGGUGGUAAAUUCCAUCUAAAAGGYUAAAUAUUGGCGAGAGACCGAUAGCGAAACAAGUMCCGUGAGGGAAAGGAUGAAAASCMYYUUGGAAAGAGAGUUAACAGUACGUGAAAUUGUUGGAAGGGAAACGCUUGAAGUCAGACUUGCUGUUUGGAAUUCAGCCGCAAGGUGUACUUUUCAGAUAUGCAGGCCAGCAUCAGUUUUUGGGGGUGAAAAAGGGUAUGGAGAAGGUAGCAGUUUCGGCUGUGUUAUAGCUCUUUGCUGGAUUCAUCCUUGGGGACUGAGGAACGCAGCUCACUUUUUGCACGAUCUUCGGAUUGUUCUGAGCUUAGGAUGCUGGUGGAAUGGCUUUAAACGACCCGUCUUGAAACACGGACCAAGGAGUCUAACAUGCUUGCGAGUGUUUGGGUGUCAAACCCGGACGCGCAAUGAAAGUGAAUGCAGGUGGGAACCGCAAGGUGCACCAUCGACCGAUCUGGAUUUUCUAAGAUGGAUUUGAGUAAGAGCAAUUAUGUUGGGACCCGAAAGAUGGUGAACUAUGCCUGAAUAGGGCGAAGCCAGAGGAAACUCUGGUGGAGGCUCGUAGCGGUUCUGACGUGCAAAUCGAUCGUCAAAUUUGGGUAUAGGGGCGAAAGACUAAUCGAACCAUUAACUGUAUUU
RNAcentral lists this ribosomal RNA (881 nucleotides) under Slooffia micra. Its description in RNAcentral is "partial large subunit ribosomal RNA". The record is from RNAcentral. Lineage: Eukaryota; Fungi; Basidiomycota; Microbotryomycetes; Chrysozymaceae.